GAAAGUAUAGUAAGGGCGUAUGGUGAAUGCCUUGGAAAAUGGAGCCGAUGAAGGACGUGACUACCUGCGAAAAGUGCCGGGGAGCUGGAAGUAAGCUUUGAUCCGACAAUGUCCGAAUGGGGAAACCCAGCACGAUUAAUCUCGUGUUAUCCAUAACUGAAUACAUAGGUUAUGAGAAGGGAACCUUGGGAACUGAAACAUCUUAGUACCAAGAGGAAAAGAAAACGAAUGUGAUUCUGUAAGUAGCGGCGAGCGAAAGCGGAACAGGCCAAACCGGUCUACGGGCCGGGGUUGUAGGACUCAUGUUAGAGUUACAAAGUUAGUGUAUAGCAGAAGCUGUUGGGAAGCAGCGCCGCAGAGGGUGAUAGCCCCGUAUGCGAAAUGCACUAACCUCGAGUGAGUAUCCUGAGUACGGCGGGGCACGAGAAACCCUGUCGGAAUCUACCCAGACCACUGGGUAAGCCUAAAUACUACCAUUUUACCGAUAGUGAACCAGUACCGUGAGGGAAAGGUGAAAAGUACCCCGUGAGGGGAGUGAAAUAGUACCUGAAACCAUACGCUUACAAGAAGUCAGAGCCCGUUAAUGGGUGAUGGCGUGCUUUUUGUAGAAAGAGCCGGCGAGUUACGAUAUCGUGCAAGGUUAAGUGGAAUCCACGGAGCCGUAGUGAAAGCGAGCCUUAAUAGGGCGUUUAGUACGAUGUCGUAGACACGAAACCGGGUGAUCUAGCCAUGAGCAGGUUGAAGUUAGGGUAAAACCUAAUGGAGGACCGAACCAACGUUCGUUGAAAAGACCGUGGAUGACUUGUGGCUAGGGGUGAAAUUCCAAUCGAACCCGGAGAUAGCUAGUUCUCCCCGAUAUAGCUUUAAGGCUAGCGUCGAGGUAAAGGAUUAUGGAGGUAGAGCUCUGAAUGUGUGAUGGCCCCACCUAGGGGUACUGAUCACAAUUAAACUACGAAUGCCAUAAUUUCAUACUCGGCAGUCAGAACAUGGGUGAUAAGGUCCAUGCUCGUGAGGGAAACAGCCCAGAUCAACAACUAAGGUCCCUAAAUUUACGCUAAGUGUGUAAGGAUGUGGAAGUGCACAGACAGCUAGGAUGUUGGCUUAGAAGCAGCCAUCAUUUAAAGAGUGCGUAACAGCUCACUAGUCGAGUGCUUCUGCGCCGAAAAUGUACCGGGGCUUAAGCGUAGUACCGAAGUUUUGGAUUUGCAGCAAUGCAAGUGGUAGGGGAGCGUUCUAAUUGCGAUGAAGUUCGACCGUGAGGACGUGUGGAGCGAUUAGAAGUGAUUAUGCCGGCAUGAGUAACGUUUGGGAGUGAGAAUCUCCCAUGCCGUUUGACCAAGGUUUCCUGGGCAAGGUUCGUCCACCCAGGGUUAGUCAGGACCUAAGGCGAGGCCGAAAGGCGUAGUCGAUGGACAACAGGUUGAUAUUCCUGUACCACCUAGUAAAGUGAUGGAGUGACGGAGAAGGAUAGUGGAUGCCGGCUGUUGGUUAUGCCGGUCUAAGCACAAAGAGGUGUACGUUGGCAAAUCCGCGUACUGUAACCUUGAAGUGUUAUGGGGAGUGAACGCUUCGGCUAGUAGCGAAGUCCAUGACUCCACGCUUCCAAGAAAAGCUUCUAGCGUUAAUUUACUAGGUGCCUGUACCUAGAACGAACACACGUGGUCAAGGAGAGAAUCCUAAGGCAAGCGAGAUAACUAUAGCUAAGGAACUCUGCAAAAUCACCCCGUAAGUUAGCGAGAAGGGGUGCUCACUUUACGUGAGCCGCAGUGAAGAGGAAGGGGCAACUGUUUAGCAAAAACACAGCUCUCUGCAAAGUCGUAAGACGAAGUAUAGGGGGUGACGCCUGCCCAGUGCCGGAAGGUUAAGAGGAGAUGUUAGCUUUGGUGAAGCAUUGAAUUGAAGCCCCGGUGAACGGCGGCCGUAACUAUAACGGUCCUAAGGUAGCGAAAUUCCUUGUCAGGUAAGUUCUGACCCGCACGAAAGGCGUAAUGAUCCCUUCGCUGUCUCGGCUAUAGACUCGGUGAAAUUUUAGUACCAGUGAAGAUGCUGGUUACCCGCAACUAGACGGAAAGACCCCGUGGAGCUUUACUAUAACUUAAUAUUGAAUCUUGGUGUAACAUGUAGAGGAUAGGUGGGAGACUUUGAAGCGGUCACGCUAGUGGCCGUGGAGUCAUCCUUGGAAUACCACCCUUGUUACAUUGAGGUUCUAACCUAGACCCGUUAUCCGGGCCAGGGACAGUGUUUGGUGGGUAGUUUGACUGGGGCGGUCGCCUCCUAAAAUGUAACGGAGGCGCUCAAAGGUACCCUCAGUACGGUUGGAAAUCGUACGAAGAGCGCAAAGGUAUAAGGGUGCUUAACUGCGAGACUUACAAGUCGAACAGAUGCGAAAGCAGGACUUAGUGAUCCGGCGGUCCCGUGUGGAAGGGCCGUCGCUCAACGGAUAAAAGUUACCCCGGGGAUAACAGGCUGAUCUCCCCCAAGAGUUCACAUCGACGGGGAGGUUUGGCACCUCGAUGUCGGCUCAUCGCAUCCUGGAGCUGUAGUCGGUUCCAAGGGUUGGGCUGUUCGCCCAUUAAAGCGGUACGCGAGCUGGGUUCAGAACGUCGUGAGACAGUUUGGUCCCUAUCUGUUGUGGGCGUAGGAAAAUUGAGAAGAGCUGUUCCUAGUACGAGAGGACCGGAAUGGACGCACCCCUGGUGCUCCUGUUGUCACGCCAGUGGCACAGCAGGGUAGCUAUGUGCGGAAAGGAUAAUCGCUGAAGGCAUCUAAGCGAGAAGCCUCCUUCAAGAUGAGUUUUCCCAUUCUUCGGAAGUAAGAUCCCAUGUAGACCACAUGGUUGAUAGGUUGGGUGUGUACGCACGGUGACGUGUUUAGCUAACCAAUACUAAUAGAUCGAGGUCUUUCAAAG
Molecule: ribosomal RNA, 2908 nt
Filed under: Spiroplasma floricola
Lineage: Bacteria; Bacillati; Mycoplasmatota; Mollicutes; Entomoplasmatales; Spiroplasmataceae
Also listed under: 1 other name
Description: bacterial LSU rRNA
Rfam family: Bacterial large subunit ribosomal RNA
Source: RNAcentral